This 266-nucleotide ribosomal RNA is filed under the name uncultured bacterium. RNAcentral's name for it is "partial small subunit ribosomal RNA". It matches the Rfam family "Bacterial small subunit ribosomal RNA", at positions 26 to 285 of the family's 1533-position model. The record is from RNAcentral.
AGGACGAACGCUGGCGGCGUGCUUAACACAUGCAAGUGGUGCGACGAACCAGGGCUUGCCCUGGGGCCAAGCCGCGAACGGGUGAGUAACACGUGAGUAAUCUGCCCCGAUGACCGGGACAACCCGAGGAAACUCGGGCUAAUACCGGAUGUGGUGCACGGGUAUAAGCCUGUGUACUAAAGGAAGCUUCGGCCUCCGCAUUGGGAGGAGCUCGCGGCCCAUUAGCUUGUUGGUGGGGUAACGGCCUACCAAGGCAACGAUGGGUA